UCGUGCGAGAACGCUUCCUUCGGGAUGCUAGUAAAGCGGCGCACGGGUGAGUAACACGUAGGUAAUCUACCUCGAAGUCUGGGAUAACUGGCCGAAAGGUCAGCUAAUACCGGAUAAGACCACGACCUCCUCGGGGGUUGUGGCCAAAGGCGGCCUCUUCAUGAAAGCUGUCGCUACGGGAUGAGCCUGCGGCCCAUUAGCUAGUUGGUGAGGUAAAGGCUUACCAAGGCAAUGAUGGGUAGCUGGUCUGAGAGGAUGAUCAGCCACACUGGAACUGAGACACGGUCCAGACUCCUACGGGAGGCAGCAGUGGGGAAUAUUGCGCAAUGGGGGAAACCCUGACGCAGCGACGCCGCGUGGGUGAUGAAGGCCUUCGGGUCGUAAAGCCCUGUCGUAGGGGAAGAAAUCGUUGUCGGUUAAUACCCGGCAGCGUUGACGGUACCCUGCAAGAAAGCACCGGCUAACUCCGUGCCAGCAGCCGCGGUAAUACGGAGGGUGCGAGCGUUGUUCGGAAUCACUGGGCGUAAAGCGCGUGUAGGCGGCAGGUUAAGUCUGGUGUGAAAGCCCGGGGCUCACCCCCGGAAGUGCGCUGGAAACUGGCCAGCUA
RNAcentral lists this ribosomal RNA (607 nucleotides) under uncultured bacterium. RNAcentral describes it as "bacterial SSU rRNA". It matches the Rfam family "Bacterial small subunit ribosomal RNA", at positions 62 to 643 of the family's 1533-position model. The record is from RNAcentral.